UAUUCUCCUCUUACCAUUGACUGUAGCACUCUGCCAUCUCUCUCUCUUGCGUCCUCUACUUCUUUUGUAAAGGCAUUUCUUUGUCUUCUUCUCUUCGCUGUUCCAGUUCUACCUUGUCUCUAUGUCAUCUAACAACCUCUGCCACAGACUAGUCGGACAUCGUCCUCGUUUGUUCUCUUCUUCACGCAUGCUCUGCCUCUCUGUCUCUCUGCCACUUAAACUUUUCGUUUUUCUCUCCCCC
This 241-nucleotide long non-coding RNA is filed under the name Carica papaya (papaya). Its description in RNAcentral is "long non-coding RNA (CPAP_LNC011591)". Lineage: Eukaryota; Viridiplantae; Streptophyta; Magnoliopsida; Brassicales; Caricaceae. The record is from RNAcentral.